GAUGAACGCUAGCUACAGGCUUAACACAUGCAAGUCGAGGGGCAGCAUUUCAGUUCGCUUGCAAACUGGAGAUGGCGACCGGCGCACGGGUGAGUAACACGUAUCCAACCUGCCGAUAACUCGGGGAUAGCCUUUCGAAAGAAAGAUUAAUACCCGAUGGUAUAAUCAGACCGCAUGGUCUUGUUAUUAAAGAAUUUCGGUUAUCGAUGGGGAUGCGUUCCAUUAGGCAGUUGGUGAGGUAACGGCUCACCAAACCUUCGAUGGAUAGGGGUUCUGAGAGGAAGGUCCCCCACAUUGGAACUGAGACACGGUCCAAACUCCUACGGGAGGCAGCAGUGAGGAAUAUUGGUCAAUGGGCGCAGGCCUGAACCAGCCAAGUAGCGUGAAGGAUGACUGCCCUAUGGGUUGUAAACUUCUUUUAUAUGGGAAUAAAGUUUUCCACGUGUGGAAUUUUGUAUGUACCAUAUGAAUAAGGAUCGGCUAACUCCGUGCCAGCAGCCGCGGUAAUACGGAGGAUCCGAGCGUUAUCCGGAUUUAUUGGGUUUAAAGGGAGCGUAGGUGGACAGUUAAGUCAGUUGUGAAAGUUUGCGGCUCAACCGUAAAAUUGCAGUUGAUACUGGCUGUCUUGAGUACAGUAGAGGUGGGCGGAAUUCGUGGUGUAGCGGUGAAAUGCUUAGAUAUCACGAAGAACUCCGAUUGCGAAGGCAGCUCACUGGACUGCAACUGACACUGAUGCUCGAAAGUGUGGGUAUCAAACAGGAUUAGAUACCCUGGUAGUCCACACAGUAAACGAUGAAUACUCGCUGUUUGCGAUAUACAGUAAGCGGCCAAGCGAAAGCAUUAAGUAUUCCACCUGGGGAGUACGCCGGCAACGGUGAAACUCAAAGGAAUUGACGGGGGCCCGCACAAGCGGAGGAACAUGUGGUUUAAUUCGAUGAUACGCGAGGAACCUUACCCGGGCUUAAAUUGCAUUUGAAUAUAUUGGAAACAGUAUAGCCGUAAGGCAAAUGUGAAGGUGCUGCAUGGUUGUCGUCAGCUCGUGCCGUGAGGUGUCGGCUUAAGUGCCAUAACGAGCGCAACCCUUAUCUUUAGUUACUAACAGGUCAUGCUGAGGACUCUAGAGAGACUGCCGUCGUAAGAUGUGAGGAAGGUGGGGAUGACGUCAAAUCAGCACGGCCCUUACGUCCGGGGCUACACACGUGUUACAAUGGGGGGUACAGAAGGCAGCUACCUGGUGACAGGAUGCUAAUCCCAAAAGCCUCUCUCAGUUCGGAUCGAAGUCUGCAACCCGACUUCGUGAAGCUGGAUUCGCUAGUAAUCGCGCAUCAGCCAUGGCGCGGUGAAUACGUUCCCGGGCCU
Molecule: ribosomal RNA, 1359 nt
Filed under: uncultured bacterium
Lineage: Bacteria
Description: bacterial SSU rRNA
Rfam family: Bacterial small subunit ribosomal RNA
Source: RNAcentral